GAUGAAGAACGUAGCGAAAUGCGAUACUUGGUGUGGAUUGCAGAAUCCCGUGAACCAUCGAGUCUUUGAACGCAAGUUGCGCCCGAAGCCAUUAGGCCGAGGGCACGCCUGCCUGGGUGUCACACACCGUUACCCUCGCGCCAACGUCCAUCGUUGGCCGCGGCGCGGGGCGUGCGCUGACCUCCCGCGAGCGGGGUCUCGUGGUUGGUUGAAAAUCGAGUUCGCGGUCGAGGGUGCCGUGAUGAAAUGGUGGAUGGGCGACGCCCGAGGCCAAUCACGCGCGACUCUGUCCGGCCCGGACUCCUGGACCCCUUCGGCGUCUCCGGACGCUCUUUGGCGAGACCUCAGGUCAGGCGGGGCUACCCGCUGAGUUUAAGCAUAUCAAUAAGCGGAGGA
Molecule: unclassified non-coding RNA, 396 nt
Filed under: soil metagenome
Description: partial contains 5.8S ribosomal RNA, internal transcribed spacer 2, and large subunit ribosomal RNA
Rfam family: 5.8S ribosomal RNA (bases 1-122)
Source: RNAcentral